AUACGGAGGGUGCAAGCGUUAAUCGGAAUUACUGGGCGUAAAGCGUACGUAGGCGGUUCGUUAAGUUAGAUGUGAAAGCCCCGGGCUUAACUUGGGAACUGCAUUUGAAACUGGGUAACUAGAGUUUAGUAGAGGGGAGUGGAAUUUCAGGUGUAGCGGUGAAAUGCGUAGAGAUCUGAAGGAACACCAGUGGCGAAGGCGACUCCCUGGACUAAAACUGACGCUGAGGUACGAAAGCGUGGGUAGCAAACAGGAUUAGAAACCCUAGUAGUCC
Molecule: ribosomal RNA, 274 nt
Filed under: uncultured bacterium
Lineage: Bacteria
Description: partial 16S ribosomal RNA
Rfam family: Bacterial small subunit ribosomal RNA
Source: RNAcentral